Molecule: non-coding RNA, 18 nt
Filed under: Saccharomyces cerevisiae (brewer's yeast)
Lineage: Eukaryota; Fungi; Ascomycota; Saccharomycetes; Saccharomycetales; Saccharomycetaceae
Also listed under: 2 other names
Source: RNAcentral
AAAGGAAUUGACGGAAGG